CCCUUGUAUUAUUUUCUUGUGCCAAAAUAUUGUACACUCAAUUGCACCUUUUACCUCUAUCUAUCCAAAUUUCAACCAAAUCUUGCAUAUUUUUCUCCUACAAAAAAUUAACCAACUUGUUAACAUAUAAUCUUAGCAAGUUAAGUUAAUUAAUACGAUAAUAUUAUGGCAAGUAAUUACGAAGAAAACUAUGAUCUUAAGAAGCGUAACAAAGAAUUAGAGAGAAAAUUAAGAGAAAGUUUAGUAAGAGAAAAAAAGACAAAGGAAGAAUUGUAUAAAGCAUUAGAAAGGGUUAGAGUGGCUGAAGAUGGAGAAGAAAUGCUUUGUUCUCAAUUAGGAGAUCUUGAAGCUGAAUCUGUCGAUCAAGCGCGUGAUUUUCAAGCUCGAAUGUUAGCUUUGAUGGAUCAACUUUCUCAUGCUCAACAACUUCUUCAACUUCAUUCCAUUUCCAUGCAUUAAAAAAAGGAUCAUAUGUUUAAUAUAUACAAGUGCCGGGCUUGUCAUCGGGGUGUUUUUACUUCCGAUGUUUAAAAACACGACAGCUGUCUGUAUGGUUGUGUAAUUUGAACUAGUAACGUGAAAGUUAUAGGGGUUUUUUUUUAUCGCCUAUGUGAGUUGAGGUAGUAUAUUAUAUUAUUGUACAUACAUAAAUGGAGGAGUAUAUAACUACGUAACUCAUAAAUUUUGGUGGUUAUGGAUUGUCUUUCUUUUUUUUUUUUUUUUUUUUGGGUUUAGUGAAUUAAUGUAACUCCUUGUUUAAGAUUAUGAAAUAUUUGUCUAAAAAAAAUUUAAAUAAAUAAAUAAAUAAAUUGUGAAA
Molecule: long non-coding RNA, 817 nt
Organism: Chenopodium quinoa (quinoa)
Lineage: Eukaryota; Viridiplantae; Streptophyta; Magnoliopsida; Caryophyllales; Amaranthaceae
Exons: 2
Source: RefSeq, a predicted model, not a curated record